This 73-nucleotide transfer RNA is filed under the name Lentinula edodes (shiitake mushroom). It matches the Rfam family "tRNA". Rfam says of the family: Transfer RNA (tRNA) molecules are approximately 80 nucleotides in length. Lineage: Eukaryota; Fungi; Basidiomycota; Agaricomycetes; Agaricales; Omphalotaceae. The record is from Rfam by way of RNAcentral.
UUUCUCUUAGUUUAAAAGGUUAGAACUGCAAUCUUCUAAAUUGCUAAUUUUGGUUCAAAUCCAAAAGAGAAUA